RNAcentral lists this ribosomal RNA (462 nucleotides) under Vreelandella stevensii. RNAcentral describes it as "partial 16S ribosomal RNA". It matches the Rfam family "Bacterial small subunit ribosomal RNA", at positions 341 to 795 of the family's 1533-position model. The record is from RNAcentral. Lineage: Bacteria; Pseudomonadati; Pseudomonadota; Gammaproteobacteria; Oceanospirillales; Halomonadaceae.
UAGGGGGGCUGCAGUGGGGAAUAUUGGACAAUGGGCGAAAGCCUGAUCCAGCCAUGCCGCGUGUGUGAAGAAGGCCUUCGGGUUGUAAAGCACUUUCAGUGGGGAAGAAAGCCUUGGGGCUAAUACCCUCGAGGAAGGACAUCACCCACAGAAGAAGCACCGGCUAACUCCGUGCCAGCAGCCGCGGUAAUACGGAGGGUGCGAGCGUUAAUCGGAAUUACUGGGCGUAAAGCGCGCGUAGGCGGUCUGAUAAGCCGGUUGUGAAAGCCCCGGGCUCAACCUGGGAACGGCAUCCGGAACUGUCAGGCUAGAGUGCAGGAGAGGAAGGUAGAAUUCCCGGUGUAGCGGUGAAAUGCGUAGAGAUCGGGAGGAAUACCAGUGGCGAAGGCGGCCUUCUGGACUGACACUGACGCUGAGGUGCGAAAGCGUGGGUAGCAAACAGGAUUAGAUACCCCGGUAGUC